This 482-nucleotide ribosomal RNA is filed under the name uncultured bacterium. Its description in RNAcentral is "partial 16S ribosomal RNA". It matches the Rfam family "Bacterial small subunit ribosomal RNA", at positions 29 to 507 of the family's 1533-position model. The record is from RNAcentral.
AUUGAACGCUGGCGGCAUGCCUUACACAUGCAAGUCGAACGGUAACAGUGCUUCUGGUUCUGACGAGUGGCGGACGGGUGAGUAAUACAUCGGAACGUACCCGACUGUGGCGGGUAACGAGGGGAGAGCUAUGCUAAUACAGACUACGAACUACGGAUGAGAGCAGGGGAGGUUCGGACCGCGCGCGGGCCAAGCGGCCAGUGGCUGUUUAGGUAGCUGGUGGGAGAAAAGCUUACCAACCCGACGAACUGUAGGUGGCCGGAGAGGGUGGUCCGCCACACUGGGACUGGGACAAGGCCCCAACUCCUACGGGAGGCAGCCGUGGGGAAUUUUGGACAAUGGGGGAAAGCCUGAUCCAAGCAUGCCGCGUGGAGGAUGAAGGCCUUCGGGUUGUAAAAUGCUUUUGUACGGAAAGAAAAGCCUCUUACUAAAAACCAGCGGUAAUGACGGUACCUAAAGAAUAAGCACCGGCUAACUACGUG